UGGAAGAAAGUCAAGAAACUACAUUGUUGCUCAUUAUUGUUAUUUGUUAUUGUUGGCACUUGAAACUUGAAAGUGGUCUCAUGGAAGAGGCUACAUUGUUUGUUGCUCA
Molecule: long non-coding RNA, 109 nt
Organism: Solanum verrucosum
Lineage: Eukaryota; Viridiplantae; Streptophyta; Magnoliopsida; Solanales; Solanaceae
Exons: 2
Source: RefSeq, a predicted model, not a curated record